GACGAACGCUGGCGGCGUGCUUAACACAUGCAAGUCGAACGGAAAGGCCCUGCUUUUGUGGGGUGCUCGAGUGGCGAACGGGUGGGUAACACGUUAGUAACCUGCCCUUGACUUUGGGAUAACUUCAGGAAACUGGGGCUAAUACCGGAUAGGAGCUCCUGCGGCAUGGUGGGGGUUGGAAAGUUUCGGCGGGUGGGGAUGGACUCGCGGCUUAUCAGCUUGUUGGUGGGGUAGUGGCUUACCAAGGCUUUGACGGGUAGCCGGCCUGAGAGGGUGACCGGCCACCUUGGGACUGAGAUACGGCCCAGACUCCUACGGGAGGCAGCAGUGGGGAAUAUUGCACAAUGGGCGGAAGCCUGAUGCAGCAACGCCGCGUGCGGGAUGACGGCCUUCGGGUUGUAAACCGCUUUCGCCUGUGACGAAGCGUGAGUGACGGUAAUGGGUAAAGAAGCACCGGCUAACUACGUG
RNAcentral lists this ribosomal RNA (468 nucleotides) under uncultured bacterium. RNAcentral's name for it is "partial 16S ribosomal RNA". It matches the Rfam family "Bacterial small subunit ribosomal RNA", at positions 28 to 507 of the family's 1533-position model. The record is from RNAcentral.